AUGAAUCACGGGCAGCAGCAGGCGUACCACCUGAGCAACACGGUGAUCGGCUACCUCAACCUGCUCACGCUGCUCGCCUCCAUCCCCAUCAUCGGCGCCGGCCUCUGGCUGGCGCACGCCGCCUCCGCUGCCCCGGGCCCCACGUGCCAGUCCGCGCUGCAGGCCCCGCUCCUCGCCGUCGGCUUCGUGGCCUUCCUAGUCUCGCUCCCGGGCUUCGUCGGCGCGCGCUACCACGUCUCCUGGGCGCUCUGGCUCUACCUGGUCGCCGUCCUCCUCCUCGUGCUCUUCCUCCUCGGCGCCACCGUGUUCGGCCUCGCCGUCACGGCGGGCGGCGGGGGGCGGACGGUCCCCGGGAGGCCGUACCGCGAGUACCGGAUGCGGGACUACUCGCCGUGGCUGCGGGGCCACGUGUCCGCCGACCGCUACUGGCGCACGGCGCUGGCGUGCGUGGCCAGCUCCAGGGCGUGCCCCAAGGUGGCCGGAUGGACGCCCGACGACUACAUGCGCCGCGACCUCACGCCCGUCCAGUCCGGAUGCUGCAAGCCGCCCACGUCCUGCGUCUACGGCGGCGACGGGCUGACGGGGCAGGGCCCGGCGGUGGUGGCGGUGCAGGACGAGGACUGCUUCCGGUGGCAGAACGACCCGGCGGUGCUCUGCUACGGCUGCGACUCGUGCAGGGCCGGCGUGAUGGAGCAGCUGCGCCGCCACUGGCACAACGUCACCAUCGUCAACGCCGUGCUGCUGCUGCUGCUCAUCGCCGUCUGCUCCUGCGGCUGCUGCGCCUUCCGCAACGCCCGACGCGCCGAGUACGCCUACGGCGGCCGCAUGUCCAAGAUCCACCCGCGAUGGGAUUACUUCUGGUCAAGGUGGUGGCGUGGCCACAGAGAACAAAUCUAUUGA
This 900-nucleotide ribosomal RNA is filed under the name Triticum aestivum (bread wheat). Its description in RNAcentral is "partial small subunit ribosomal RNA". The record is from RNAcentral. Lineage: Eukaryota; Viridiplantae; Streptophyta; Magnoliopsida; Poales; Poaceae.